CCAGUGACACCAGUAACACCAGUGACACCAGUGACACCAGUGACAGGGCACCUGGGCAUCCAGGAGCUCAUCAACACCGUGCACCAGUAAGGUACUGCUGCCACCAGUAACACCAGUGACACCAGUGACAGGGCACCUGGGCAUCCAGGAGCUCAUCAACACCGUGCACCAGUAAGGUACUGCCACCAGUAACACCAGUGACACCAGUGACAGGGCACCUGGGCAUCCAGGAGCUCACCCACACCGUGCACCAGUAAGGUACUGCUGCCACCAGUGACACCAGUGACACCAGUGACACCAGUAACACCAGUGACAGAGCAUCCAGGAGCUCACCCACAGUGCGCCAGUGCACCAGUAAGGUACUGCUGCCACCAGUAACACCAGUAACAGGGCACCUGGGCAUCCAGGAGCUCACCCACACUGUGCACCAGUAAGGUACUGCUGCCACCAGUAACACCAGUGACACCAGCAAGGUACUGCUGCCACCAGUAACACCAGUAAGGGACUGGCUGCACCAGUAACUCAGCAGGACCUGGUUGGGUGGAUUUGACACAGAACUGAGUCCAUGCCCUGUUGCAGGACCUGGUUGGGGUGGAUUUGACACAGAACCGAGUCAGUGCCCUUGAGCAGGACCUGGUUGGGGUGGAUUUGGUGCAGAACUGAGUCCAUGUCCUGUGGCAGGCCCUGGUUGGGGUGGAUUUGGCACAGAACCAGUCGGUGCCCUCGAGCAGGACCUGGUUGGGGUGGAUUUGGUGGAGAACCAGUCCAUGUCCUCGAGCAGGACCUGGUUGGGGUGGAUUUGGCACAGAACUGAGUCCAUGUCCUGUGGCAGGCCCUGUUUGGGUGGAUUUGGCAGAACCAGUCUGUGCCCCCGCGGCGCUGCCACGGUCCCCCCGCAGCGGUUUUUCCCCGUCCUUCUCCCUCUCUUUUCAGCUCGGUUCCUACCCCAGGUUGCGGGAGGAGACGGAGCGGAUCGUCACCACCCACAUCCGGGAGCGCGAGGGCAAAACCAAGGACCAGAUCCUGCUGCUGAUCGACAUCGAGCUCUCCUACAUCAACACCAACCACGAGGAUUUCAUCGGAUUUGCCAACGCGCAGCAGAGGAACACGCAGACCAACAAGAAGAGGGCGAUCCCCAACCAGGUGAUCCGCAGGGGCUGGGUGACCAUCAACAACAUCAGCAUCAUGAAGGGCGGCUCCAAGGAAUACUGGUUCGUGCUCACGGCCGAGUCGCUCUCCUGGUACAAGGACGACGAGGUACGGGGGGGAAAUCGGGAAGAUCCUUGGGGUAGGGGUGGGGAUUGGUGCCCAGGAGGAACGACAACCCCCAAAUCCGGGUGUGGGGGCUCGUCCAGACCCCGAAUUCCUGAACCUCGGGGUUGUGUGGACUCGGAUGAACCCGGAGGCUCCGGCGGCUCCCGGGGGUUCC
Molecule: long non-coding RNA, 1429 nt
Organism: Manacus vitellinus (golden-collared manakin)
Lineage: Eukaryota; Metazoa; Chordata; Aves; Passeriformes; Pipridae
Source: Ensembl